This 468-nucleotide ribosomal RNA is filed under the name uncultured bacterium. Its description in RNAcentral is "partial 16S ribosomal RNA". It matches the Rfam family "Bacterial small subunit ribosomal RNA", at positions 28 to 507 of the family's 1533-position model. The record is from RNAcentral.
GACGAACGCUGGCGGCGUGCUUAACACAUGCAAGUCGAACGGAAAGGCCCUGCUUUUGUGGGGUGCUCGAGUGGCGAACGGGUGAGUAACACGUGAGUAACCUGCCCUUGACUUUGGGAUAACUUCAGGAAACUGGGGCUAAUACCGGAUAGGAGCUCCUGCUGCAUGGUGGGGGUUGGAAAGUUUCGGCGGUUGGGGAUGGACUCGCGGCUUAUCAGCUUGUUGGUGGGGUAGUGGCUUACCAAGGCUUUGACGGGUAGCCGGCCUGAGAGGGUGACCGGACACAUCGGGCUGGAGAUACGGCCCAGACCCCAACGGGAGGCAGCAGUGGGGAAUAGUGUACAAUGGGAGGAAGGCUGAUGCAGCAACGCCGCGCGGGGGAUGACGGGCUUCGGGUUGUAAACCGCUUUCGCCUGUGACGAAGCGUGAGUGACGGUAAUGGGUAAAGAAGCACCGGCUAACUACGUG